CGCUGGCGGCGUGCUUAACACAUGCAAGUCGAGCGAGAAGCUAUUUAUUGAACUUUCGGGUGAUUUAGAUAGUGGAAAGCGGCGGACGGGUGAGUAACGCGUGGGUAACCUGCCCUAUGCAGGGGGAUAACACAUUGAAAAGUGUGCUAAUACCGCAUAAGACUACAGAGUCGCAUGACUUGGUAGUAAAAACUCCGGUAGCAUAGGAUGGACCCGCGUCUGAUUAGCUAGUAGGUAAGGUAAUGGCUUACCUAGGCGACGAUCAGUAGCCGACCUGAGAGGGUGAUCGGCCACAUUGGGACUGAGACACGGCCCAAACUCCUACGGGAGGCAGCAGUGGGGAAUAUUGCACAAUGGGGGAAACCCUGAUGCAGCGACGCCGCGUGAAGGAAGAAGGUUUUCGGAUCGUAAACUUCUAUCAGCAGGGAAGAUAGUGACAGUACCUGACUAAGAAGCCCCGGCUAACUACGUGCCAGCAGCCGCGGUAAUACGUAGGGGGCAAGCGUUAUCCGGAUUUACUGGGUGUAAAGGGUGCGUAGGCGGCUUGGUAAGUCAGAUGUGAAAGCCCGAGGCUCAACUUCGGGACUGCAU
This 591-nucleotide ribosomal RNA is filed under the name uncultured bacterium. RNAcentral describes it as "bacterial SSU rRNA". It matches the Rfam family "Bacterial small subunit ribosomal RNA", at positions 34 to 626 of the family's 1533-position model. The record is from RNAcentral.